GAUGAACGCUGGCUACAGGCUUAACACAUGCAAGUCGAGGGGAAACGACGGGGAAGCUUGCUUCCCCGGGCGUCGACCGGCGCACGGGUGAGUAACGCGUAUCCAACCUGCCUCUGACUGAGGGAUAACCCGUCGAAAGUCGGCCUAAUACCUCAUGGCAUCGUCUGCGGGCAUCCAACGACGAUUAAAGAUUUCAUCGGUCAGGGAUGGGGAUGCGUCUGAUUAGCUAGGUGGCGGGGUAACGGCCCACCCAGGCGACGAUCAGUAGGGGUUCUGAGAGGAAGGUCCCCCACAUUGGAACUGAGACACGGUCCAAACUCCUACGGGAGGCAGCAGUGAGGAAUAUUGGUCAAUGGGCGAGAGCCUGAACCAGCCAAGUAGCGUGCAGGAUGACGGCCCUAUGGGUUGUAAACUGCUUUUAUGCGGGGAUAAAGUGAGGGACGUGUCCUUCAUUGCAGGUACCGCAUGAAUAAGGACCGGCUAAUUCCGUG
RNAcentral lists this ribosomal RNA (491 nucleotides) under uncultured bacterium. RNAcentral describes it as "partial 16S ribosomal RNA". It matches the Rfam family "Bacterial small subunit ribosomal RNA", at positions 28 to 507 of the family's 1533-position model. The record is from RNAcentral.